RNAcentral lists this ribosomal RNA (499 nucleotides) under uncultured bacterium. RNAcentral describes it as "bacterial SSU rRNA". It matches the Rfam family "Bacterial small subunit ribosomal RNA", at positions 1 to 507 of the family's 1533-position model. The record is from RNAcentral.
CGAUAUCGGACGAGUUUGAUCAUGGCUCAGGAUGAACGCUGGCGGCGUGCCUAAUACAUGCAAGUCGAACGAGGUGCUUUUGUAGCAAUACGAGAGUAUCCUAGUGGCGAACGGGUGAGUAACGCGUGGAUGACCUGCCCCAAAGUGUGGGAUAACAGUCCGAAAGGAUUGCUAAUACCUCAUGUGGUUAUCGGUUUUAGAAAGCGAUAACUAAAGCAGCAAUGCGCUUUGGGAGGGAUCUGCGUCCCAUCAGCUAGUUGGUGAGGUAACGGCUCACCAAGGCGACGACGGGUAGGGGACCUGAGAGGGUGGCCCCCCACAAUGGAACUGAAACACGGUCCAUACACCUACGGGUGGCAGCAGUAGGGAAUAUUGCUCAAUGGGCGAAAGCCUGAAGCAGCAACGCCGCGUGUGCGAUGAAGGCCUUCGGGUCGUAAAGCACUUUUCUAAGAGAUGAGAAAGGACAGUAUCUUAGGAAUAAGUCUCGGCUAACUACGUG